AUGUUCAAUGGGGAGAAUGAGAGUUUUACCAUUGAACUAGACGACUAUUUUGAUGAGACCAGCAGGCAAUUUGUGCGGCAAAUCCAGGAGUCUGAGGUCAAGGAGGCUUUAAAAAGUAUGAAAGGAGGCAAGGCGAUGGGCCCUGAUUGUAUCCCCAUUGAGGUGUGGAAAGGCCUUGGGGACAUAGCGAUAGUAUGGCUAACCAAGCUUUUCAACCUCAUUUUUCGGGCAAACAAGAUUCCAGAAGAAUGGAGACGGAGCAUAUUAGUACCAAUCUUCAAGACAAGGGGGGUGUGCAAAGUUGUACUAAGUACCGUGGAAUUAAGCUGA
Molecule: ribosomal RNA, 330 nt
Filed under: Triticum aestivum (bread wheat)
Lineage: Eukaryota; Viridiplantae; Streptophyta; Magnoliopsida; Poales; Poaceae
Description: partial small subunit ribosomal RNA
Source: RNAcentral